UCCGUCCUUGUCAUGGGGUGAGGGAGCUGCUCAGUGAACGUAUAGUGAGAGCAGCCCUGCUGACACCAUAACAACACCUACGCAUCACCUGGACUUCUGUCUGGGACAUGGUGCAAUUUUUGGAAAC
Molecule: non-coding RNA, 127 nt
Filed under: Dicentrarchus labrax (European seabass)
Lineage: Eukaryota; Metazoa; Chordata; Actinopteri; Moronidae
Description: U4atac minor spliceosomal RNA (ENSDLAG00005014399.2)
Rfam family: U4atac minor spliceosomal RNA
About the family: U4atac is an essential component of the minor U12-type spliceosome complex which is required for removal of the rarer class of eukaryotic introns (AT-AC, U12-type). These interacting stem loops have been shown to be required for in vivo splicing. U4atac also contains an 3' Sm protein binding site which has been shown to be essential for splicing activity.
Source: Rfam by way of RNAcentral